This 293-nucleotide ribosomal RNA is filed under the name uncultured eukaryote. RNAcentral's name for it is "partial 18S ribosomal RNA". It matches the Rfam family "Eukaryotic small subunit ribosomal RNA", at positions 6 to 298 of the family's 1831-position model. The record is from RNAcentral.
GGUUGAUCCUGCCAGUAGUCAUAUGCUUGUCCUAAAGAUUAAGCCAUGCAUGUCUAAGUAUAUACCUUUAUACGGUGAAACUGCGAAUGGCUCAUUAUAUCAGUUAUAAUUUACUUGAUGAUUUCUUUACUACUUGGAUAACCGUGGUAAUUCUAGAGCUAAUACAUGCUAAAGACCUAACUUCUGGAAGGGUCGUAUUUAUUAGAUAAAAAACCAAUGCCAAUAAAAAUGGCUUUUGGUGAGUCAUAAUAACUGCGCGGAUCGCAUGGCCUUUUGAGCCGGCGACGCUUCAU